CAUCAGGUAGUACAGAGGGUUUGAUCAUGGCUCAGAUUGCGCUGGUAGGAUGCUUUACACAUGCAAGUCGAACGCGCAGCACGGACUUCGGUCUGGUGGCGAGUGGCGAACGGGUAGCACACUGGAACGCCUAGUGCGGGGAUAACUACGCGAAAGCGGAAGCACAUCGCAUACGCCCUUCGGGGGAAAGUGGGGACCUUCGGGCCUCGCACCAUUAGAGGCCGAUAUCGGAUUAGCUAGUUGGUGGGGGUAACGGCUCACCGUUGGCGACGAUCCGUAGCUGGCUUGAGAGGACGACCAGCCACACCGGGACUGGAGACACGGCCCAGACUCUACGGGAGGCAGCAGCGGGGAAUUUUGGACAAUGGGGGAAACCCCGAUCCAGCCAUCCCGCGUGUGCGAUGAAGGCCUUCGGGUUGUAAAGCACUUUGGCAGGAAAGAAACGGCACGGGAUAACACCUGCAACUGACGGUACCUGCAGAAUAAGCACCGGCUAACUACGUGCCAGCAGCCGCGGCACAUGUAGGUGUUAAUCGGAAUUACUGGGCGUAAAGCGUGCAGGCGGUUCGGAAAGAAAGAUGAAUCCAGAGCUAACUUUGGAACUGCAUUUUUAACUACCGAGCUAGAGCAGUCAGAGGGAGGUGGAAUUCGCGUAGCAGUGAAAUGCGUAGAUAUGCGGAGGAACACCGAUGGCGAAGGCAGCUCUCCUGGAUAACACUGACGCUCAUGCACGAAAGCGUGGGGAGCAAACAGAUUAGAUACCCCGGUGGUCCCACGCCCCAAACGAUGUCAACUAGCUGUUGGGGCCUGGGCCUGGUAGCGCAGCUAACGCGUGAAGUUGAACGCCUGGGGAGUACGGUCGCAAGAUUAAAACUCAAAGGAAUUGACGGGGACCCGCACAAGCGGUGGAUGAUGUGGAUUAAUUGAUGCAACGCGAAAACCUUACCUACCCUUGACAUGUCUGGAAUCCCGAAGAGACGGGGAGUGUUUCCGCAGAACCGAACACAGGUGCUGCAUGGUUGUCGUCAGCUCGUGUCGUGAGAUGUUGGGUUAAGUCCCGCAACGAGCGCAAACUCCUUGUCAUUAGUUGGCGCAUGAAAGGGCACCAUCGAGAUUGCCGGUGACAAACCGGAGGAAGGGGGAUGACGUCAAGUCCUCAUGGCCCUUAUGGGUAGGGGCUUCACACGUCAUACAAUGGUCGGGACAGAGGUCGCCAACCCGGCGAGGGGAGCCAAUCCUGCGAAACCCGAUCGUAGUCCGGAUCGUAAACUCGACUGCGUGAAGUCGGAAUCGCUAAAAUCGCGGAUCAGCAUGUCGCGGUGAAUACGUUCCCGGGUCUUGUACACACCGCCUACGGCACCAUGGGAGUGGGUUUCACCAGAAGUAGUUAGCCUAACCGUAAGAGGGCGAUUACCACGGUAGAUUCAUGACUGGGGUAGUCGUAACAAGGUAG
Molecule: ribosomal RNA, 1453 nt
Filed under: uncultured Bordetella sp.
Lineage: Bacteria; Pseudomonadati; Pseudomonadota; Betaproteobacteria; Burkholderiales; Alcaligenaceae
Description: partial 16S-23S ribosomal RNA intergenic spacer
Rfam family: Bacterial small subunit ribosomal RNA
Source: RNAcentral